AUUGAACGCUGGCGGCAGGCCUAACACAUGCAUCGACGUACAAGUGGCGGGCGGGAGAGUAACCCGUGGGAACGUGCCCUUCGGUUCGGAAUAACCCAGGGAAACUUGAGCAAACACCGGAUACCGAAGGACCGGCCCGCGUCUGAUUAGAGUGUUGGUGGGGUAACGGCCUACCAAGGCGACGAUCAGUAGCUGGUCUGGGAGGAUGAUCAGCCACACUGGGACUGGGACACGGCCCAGACUCCUACGGGAGGCAGCAGUGGGGAAUAUUGGACAAUGGGCGCAAGCCUGAUCCAGCCAUGCCGCGUGAGUGAUGUAGGCCUUAGGGUUGUAAAGCUCUUUUGUCCGGGACGCGGUACCGGAAGAAUAAGCCCCGGCUAACUUCGUGCCAGCAGCCGCGGUAAUUC
RNAcentral lists this ribosomal RNA (407 nucleotides) under uncultured bacterium. RNAcentral describes it as "partial 16S ribosomal RNA". It matches the Rfam family "Bacterial small subunit ribosomal RNA", at positions 30 to 526 of the family's 1533-position model. The record is from RNAcentral.